GCAUGGUGGCGCCACCUGCAGUCCAGCUAUUUGGGAGGCUGAGGCAGGAGGAUCACGUGAGCCCAGGAGUUCUAAGCUGUCGUGCGCUAUGCUCAGUAAGUGUCCACACUAAGGUCGGUGUCAAUGUGGUGAUCUCCUGGGAGUGGGGACCACCAGGUUGCCUCCGGAGGGGUAAACUGGCCCAGGUUGGAAACGGAGUGGACAAAACUCCCAUGCUGAUGGGUAGUGAGGUCAUGCCCAUGGGCAGCCACCACAGGGGGAAAUAUAGCAGGAA
Molecule: signal recognition particle RNA, 274 nt
Filed under: Carlito syrichta (Philippine tarsier)
Lineage: Eukaryota; Metazoa; Chordata; Mammalia; Primates; Tarsiidae
Description: Metazoan signal recognition particle RNA (ENSTSYG00000025824.1)
Rfam family: Metazoan signal recognition particle RNA
About the family: The signal recognition particle (SRP) is a universally conserved ribonucleoprotein.
Source: RNAcentral